RNAcentral lists this unclassified non-coding RNA (14714 nucleotides) under Leishmania donovani. Its description in RNAcentral is "gene:LdHU3.07.0660(CDS-product:Dynein_heavy_chain _N-terminal_region_2_putative)". Lineage: Eukaryota; Euglenozoa; Kinetoplastea; Trypanosomatida; Trypanosomatidae. The record is from RNAcentral.
ACACACAGACCAUGGAAUCCAGUAAAAAUCACGAAAAAGUAGGCGGGCGCUUGGAGAAAGUGCUGCGCUACUACUGGGAUGGUGUUCCUGUACCACUUAUGUGCAAUGAAGGAAAGCAGCGAAGUCAAACUUUUGUGUGUCGGAGGCUCGCCUUCGCACCAGAUUACCAUGGUGAAACUAUGGAGCUGCCACUUUUACAGACACAAAAAAGCCAACUUUUUAGGGCGCUUUGUGAAUAUGUUGAUUCUCCCCAGUCCGUGAGCUGCCGCAUCGGUUCCCAUUAUUCACCACAUGUGGGACUAUUUCGCUUUGAUGAAGGAAAGCGGCUUCAUGGUGCUUCUAGUCAGGACAGCGAGUCAGUUGUGCGCGUACCGAUAGAGUGCUGCGAGAAAUCCGAUGAAGGCACGAAUGGCGUCUCCAUGCUGCAUCGUCGCAUUCGAACGGCGAAAAUGGUGUCUCUGUACAAGCCGCUGAUCAAGGAAUACUCUCCCCUCAGCCGGCACAGCCUGCGAAAUAUUUUGAUACUAGCGAGCAGAGGGUGCACCUCCAUCUCCAAGGAGGUCGUGGCGCGCGAGAUAUGCGACGUGAACGAAGCGUACGCAGAGGCAGUAUCAGAGGGUAUCUUUUACUAUAUGUGCCUUAACCAUCUGUUUCGAAGGAUUUUGGCUCCACUUCAGCUAGCGACUGAGCCGGAGCCCACCAUACGCAGCAUCACUUACGCAUCAGCUCAGGAAAUACCGCUUUCGCGGGAGCACUUCAAAGCGGCCAAGGAGCAGCUCAAAUCUCAAUUGCUUUGGAAUCCUCUCACUGGCAACUAUUUCAGAGGGCUAAUGUCGAUCUGGGAAGAGAAAUUUUCGCGACUCCGGUUUUUCAGCAUUGACGUGACCGUUGCUUGCAUCGACGUCGUCGCUUUUCUCAAGCAAGUGUCCAAGACGAUGAGCUCCGCCGUUUCACGAAUUCGCGUCGAGUUUUACGGUUGCGUCGAAGCGCUCUUUUUUUCACAUUUCAAAACAGCUCGUGAGGUGCUGCUCCUGACUGAACGGGAGUAUGAGGGCAGCGUGUUCAAAAAGGUUUUUGUUGCCACAGAGGUAUUCUUAGUCAACAGGAUAAGAUCCCUUUUUUUCGAUGCCCUGGAUUCCCUUGUGCGGUUUUUUGAUUGUGACGGCUUAGCCAACGAGGUCAGAAUAUCACCGCGUGCUCGACGACUGCCUUCCUUGCGUGUUGAACUAGUCGUCGGCGAGAGCUUCCAACCCCGAGCCCCAUCGUUUUCUCUUCUGCUGUUUGGCAUAGCGGACUUUUUUACAGAGGUGGAAAAGAGCAUUAAUGGCUUACCAAGGCUGGCUUGCGCAAUUUUCCGAGAACCGAGGCUCGGCGACAAGAAACUCACCAUUGUGUCGCACGUGGAGAUGGCCUCGUACCGUGCGUCGAUCGCAGGAGUGCUAGAAAGCGCAUCAGUACUGAUUAACAAGAUUUUGUCCUCCUAUAGCAAAUUUUGCAAGAUACCAGUGCACAACCUUGCCAUUGCAAAGACGGGAACACCGGCGGAGGUGGUGGAGCUCGUGGUGCUCGCGCGACGAAACCUGACCGAUAUUCGUCACGUCUCUCAUGAUGUUCUGUUCUACGGGCGCCUUGAGAUCAGUUGCCGUCCGUUGCGGUUGGAGCUGACGCAGAAGUGGGAAAGUUAUUUGUCGGCUUUUGUGUCUGCAUUCCAGAGCACCAUAGUGAGUAUUGUCGACGAGGCAAAGGCAAAGAGCCGUGCGAUUCUUGACAUGCUUCAAGCCACCCCUUCGACGGUGCAGGAGUUGGAGCAGCACUUGCGCAAUACCAAAGCGGCGAUUGCUUUGGCCGACUAUCUGUGCGACACGAGUCACAAACAGAUCGCCGACAGGGUCAGCUGCAUUGAAAACCUGUUUAUUCCAGUCAACGAGCACGCAUGCCGCUCUGUCUUUGAGUUCAAGAAACUUCCAGGUGAGCUUCGAGGCCAGGCAGACAAAAGCGGCGACAUUCGAGCCAAAUGCACACCGCUGUUGAGGCGCAAGCUGGAGAAUCUACGUAGUACCAUUCGUGACUACUACCGAACUCUUUCUACAGGUGUGAAGGAGUUGUACCAUAUGUUCGAUUUGGAUACUUGCGACAUUGCAGCUCAAACCUGUGCCGAGCUGCGCAAGCUAGUCGCACGCAUAGAAAAAACGCAGAAGAGUAUGGAGCACGAAAUGACGGUGCUGGGUCUGCCAUCCGAGGACUCGUUCGAUGAUUAUUUGCCCCUCAUGACUCACUUCGAGAUUAUCGAGCAGUUUUGGAUCACAGUGUUCGAAUCGACAAAAUUGCGUGAGCUGUACCGGACACCAGUAUCUUCCGUCAACGCUAGUGCAUUUGUCGAGCGCGCCCGUGAGUGGCGCCGGCUCAUUCACAGCUCCAUCCGCAACUUGCGCGCCUACCCCGCCUUGGUUCAUCUCGGCCGCGAGCAGGAACUGGCACUCGCCAAGUUUGAGGAGUUGGAGCUGUUUCUUGAACUCAUCACGACGCCUGGACUGCGCAAGAGUCACUGGCGCGACAUCGCGAAGCUGAUCUCGGCACAGUUGCGGGACGACGUCAUGUUGGUGACGAACAUGACAGUUACAGUGAAGCGCUUGCUCGACGCCGGCCUGCUCGACCACAUUGUCCCCUUGGCGCAGAUUGUUAGCCAGGCUCGCUGCGACUACGAAGUGGAGAACGAACUUGAGGAGAUGCGGAGCUAUGCCAAGCGCACGCACCUUGUUCUUGAAAACACAGCAGCUGAGAAUGACCUGAACGCACUGCUAUUGCAGGAGCCUCAGCGUGAGAUGGUGUAUCGAAUCGAGGAGUACGUGCUCAAGUGCCGUGCGAUGCGACGCCGGCCCAACUUGGGGCCAUCUGUCCUGAAGUCCUUGGACGAGUGGGUUGACGCGUGUGAGAAGAGCCGCGGCGUGCUUUUGGCGUGGGAUCAGGUGAAGGGGCGGUGGGUAAAGCUGCGUGCGUGUCUGUCCUCGCUGCGGAGUGCGGUCGCCGAGGGCAUCUGUUCGGCCGAAGAGGCACGCAUCAUCACUAAAAGUCUCACAAUGGCUUCAGAUGCCUUCAAGGAGUUGUGUGCAAUCUUGCGCAAGCCGCAGUUUUCUCUUUACACAGCCAUGAUGCAAGACACAAUACAGGAUUUCCUUCUGACUAUCAAGUCAGAAGUGGACGAUGCGGCUGAGGUGCUGCUGGGUAUGACGGAGCGCCGCCGAGCUCUGUUCCCGCGGUUUCGAUUCCUGCCCGACUCGGAGCUCACAGGGUUUCAAUCCGUGCAAAGCGCUCACAGUUUUGCCCACCUCUUCCAAUACCUGUAUCCGCGCAUCACCGAUGUAGAGGUGAUAGACGGGGUUGUCACUGCUGUGGUGGCGGCGGACGGCGCACGCUUGCCCUUGUCUUCUUCUUUGGCGCUCACGAAAGAUACCCCAGACGCUUGGAUUCAGUGCUUUGACCGUGCGGUGCGCGCGUCUCUCGUCGCUGCAGUCAAGGAGUGCGUGGCUGCGUAUUACCGAUGCAACCUGGAAUCUUGGUUGCGGCAAUGGUGCGGUCAGGUAACGGUGCUCGCGCUGCGGAUUCUACAUACGGAAGGACUGCGGCGGGCACUACAGCUCGCUGGGCAAAAUGGGCUGAUUGCCUACAUCACCAAAGUGUCAGACCUCUGCAGCGCUAUCAGCAAGCUGGCGCAGGGCGGAUACGACAAAGGCGCGAAGGGUGGGCAACCGCGCAGCUACGAAGCCGUCGUGGCAGCUGCUCUGGCGUACGAGGAGUUCGCCUUGAGAGAGGUUCAGCUAGCGGUAGAAUGGCACGUGAGCAGUGUCACCGAGCUGGAGUCUACUCGUGUCGUGCAGACUUUUCUUACACCGGCGGAGGAUGGCAUCUGCGUUCGCAUGAUGGGCGUUCUCUUCGACUACGGGCUGGAAUUCCUCGGGCAUGCCAAUGCACCAAUGAUGAGUGCGGCGCAGUGGGUGCAAAUGGCGCCAGUGCUCGUCGAUAUGGAACUGUCCCGGAGUGUUUCGCUGGUGCGCGCCAGCGACGACGUUGCGGCGGAGGGAGAGGUCUUGGAAGCUGCCGCGAUGCUGCUUGGACGCUUCUUCUUUCGGGUUGAAGCCACAGAGCAUGUGCCCACCGAAACACUUCAACGUUUGCUACGCGGGUGUGUGGAAGUUGGGGCGUUGGCUUGUGUGAUGAAUUGUGAGGCCGUGCCGAGGGCCGUGCUGGAGGAAGCCGUUUUGCCUAUUGCCACCGCCUCUGUCGAGCAGCGCCGUUCCUCCGUCUGGCAGUUGCCCUAUGGUGGAAGAGACGACAUGGUCUCGGUUUCCGUGCACCCGCUGUUCCGGUUGGCCUUCUCUGCCGCUGCGCCGGUAGCGUUGCCCCGAAGUCUCGACCUCAUCUGCAGAGAGGUGCGCGUAGCUCCCUUCGAUGUUCAAGAAGCGCUGCACGAUUAUCUGACUCGGACGGGGGUGGUACCAGGGGGUCCUCUGUCCGCUGAGGAAGCUGAGUUUGCCAAGCUGUACCGACAGCUGCAAGAGUUGCAUCCGACCGUCUUCACGGCGCGCCAACUGCGCGUGGUGCUGCGCGAGGCGUUCGCGAGUGCUGAUACGCGCGAUGGGAGGGGGUCUAAGCUCAUCGGGUCGUCACAGCAGCGAGUAGUACCGCGCCUUCUGACUGCCUUGGGAAGUGUUUUCACGGCUUUCUUCUUCUCCACAGACGGCGAGGCGGUUCAACGGAGCUUAGAGACGCAGAUUAAGGCAAAACUACUGCUACCCUCGUGCAAUGGGGUCGCCCCGCAGGGCUGGUACGACCCGCCUGCCCAGCGGACCACACAAAGCGCGGCAGCGGAUGCCUUGCUCGAGCGCUUUACAUCAUGGAUGAAUGUUCACCGGCGCGUGCUCCUUGUCGGACCGCCGUUCGCGGGGAAGACGCGACUGUGGCGAACGUGGGCUGGCUCCCAAUCGCCGCUGAUCGUCUCGCUGCCUCUCAUAUCCGCGGCGGACUUUUAUGGCACCUCUACGGAGCCGAGUUUUCUUUCCUUGAUCACUUCACAGAUGACGGCUGCUCGACACAGGAGCAAGGCUCCGGUUGUAGUGAUGGAGGAUGUCGACUCGGCCUCAUCCUUUGCACUCUUUCUGGGUUCUUGGCCGGACAGGGCACGGGUGCUGGAGGGAGAGCUGCACAACAGCAACAGCGUCAUCACUAGCCCACUGGUGCGCGUGAUCGGCACAGCGCAGGGGCUGCACCACGUUACACCCGGGACCCUCAACCGGUUUGCGAUGAUGGCGCUCGCGGGGCCAUCUUCGUGGCACGAAGGGAUCUCUCACGCGCUGGGCUCCAUGCCGGACGCAGAGUGGGUCGCGAGGGUGUUGGAGAAGCUUUUGCCACCGCUGGUGGAGCGUGCAUCGAGGGCCUCGCCCGAGCUCGUAGGAAGGGCAAAGGAGCUGACAAACAUGUACGCCAUGGCUCAACGCGCGGCAGCUCUGUGUAGUCGAUGGUACGCCUACGCACUCACGCUUCAUACACACAGAGGAGCGCUGGAAUUGCAGGAGGACGAAGACGAGGUGCCGCUGCGCUUGUUUGCCGUGCGCUGUGCGGUGAUGGCGGCUACGUGGUCGGUGGGACUCUCGCUCCCUAUGGAAGAUCGCGAUGUAUUGAAACUAUUGCUCCUCGGCGCAGAGACGGACGUGAUGAAAGCGCUGGCGGACUGCGAGCUCUCUGGAGAGAUCUUUCCAGUCUUGUUGAAGGAUAGCGUGAGUCCGCUCGAGCAGGUCGUCCUGCCUCGUGGGUGGAUAUCGUUUGAGGAGGCAGCUACGCGCACCGACUUGCCUCUGUCGUGGUCAGCAGAUUCCCACACCGAUCCGCAUCUCUGCGCGUGGUCGCAGGUGUUUUUGACACCGUCGCGAGCGGCGAUACUGCGGGCGACGGAGUGUUUGAUCAACUGCGGCCAACACGUUCUCUUCCAUGCCGGCCCAGUGGCCGGCAAGUCGACACUGUUGCACACUAUGAAGGCGAACGAAGUCGAUUGGGUUGUGCAGGUGUACAAUGCAAGCGGCGGCAUGCAGCCCAUUCACAUCCAGCAGAGGAUGGCAAGUGAGCUGGUGCCGCGCUCGGAUGGAUGCCACAGCCCAACUCUGGGGCGGCGACUUGUGGUAUGCAUCGACGAUUUGCAUCUGGCGCCGGUGGUCGCACGCAAUGGCGACGACGAUCCACAUACCGCCGCGAUGACGCUCGGUGGGUACUUGAUGCGCUUCUGUGACAAGUUCCGUGCGAUUAGCACGCCAAGGACUGGCACCAUGCCCCUCGCUAACGUUGUCUUCUGCGGCUCGAGCCUGUUUCAGGCCGGCUCAGGGAGUCAAUGCAGCACUGGGGCUCUCAGCGGGUGUGUGGAUGUGCGCUUGCCAGGGUUCGACAGCGACGAAAUCGCGUGCGGCGUGCACCUGUUGUGCAACUUGGCCUCUUCUCGAAAGCGCACCAAGGAAUUUUUGCAAGGCUGCGCCACGUUUCUGGGGCUUGUUCAUGGCGCCUACACUCACCUGAGACUGCGCGUUGCUGCCCUUGCGUCGUGCCCCGCGGUGGCCGUAACACGCCCCGCAUUCACACCAGCCCCGUCUAUUUCCGCAGUGGUGUCGUCCACGCCUCUGAACGACACAAAUGUGGAUGCAUCGGCGAGCCAGCAAGGCAGCAUUCCCUCAUUUUACGCCGAGCACCUCCGAGAUGCUCUGCAGGCGGCAGAAGUGGUGCGACUGCACUUGAUCAGCAACGCGUCGGAUGUGCAGGUUGCCACCCGCGUUUUCCUUGAUGUGACAGCCUUUUACGAGGCGCAGCUGCGUGCACCGCCAUCGCCGAAAGUAACGCAAUGCUCAGAAUCGUUACCGUUGUCGCCACCGCCGCCAAUGGCAGCAGUAGGCCUGGGGGCGAAUGACGCAUCACACGCGCUGCACGGCUCUGCAGUCGAGGCCGCGGAGAGCACCAUGCGCGAAUGCAUCCGUGGCAGCGUCAACUUCACAGACUUGGUCCGUCAGCUUCCGAAUCUCCCGGAGCCUGACGCGAUCGCCGCGGAGGACGAGUCGUUCGUUGCUGACUGCAUUGCCGAGUUUGCAUCUGCCUUGCAGGACGAGAGAGAGGAGGACCUUUCGACGCUGGAGGAAAGGCGUGGGCCAGGAGGCGGGGCGAGCAUCAAAGGCGUUCCAACACGAGGCGAGACGCGGCACACCUCGGUGUUUGUCAGCUAUCCAGACUUCCUCAGGAAGGCAGCGGUGCGGUCAGGGGGUGCACACAAGGGGAUGCUGGUGCGAAGGUCGUCAAGCGUGGCUGCGCUGAGUGGUAAUUCGUCCUUGCGCGGAUCCUUUGCCAUCACUCCGGGAUGCUCAAGCGGGUUAAGCAUGGCGGCGGCAGUGUAUCAACAGCAGAAACUGCACCCCUCUACCCACAUCGUGACAACCCCUACGUACCAGACCACGUGGCUCACCACGCGCCUUGUGUUUCUCCAAGACACGCUUUCCGCUCCCCAUGCGCAGGUCGUGUUUCUGGGAGAGAAUGCGUUUGGCCUGCGCCGACUCUUCCGCUUGUGGUGCGCUAACACACAUGUGCCUUUCAUGUGGUUCCGGAUGCAUCCGUCUGCAUCCCCUGCAGAGGCGAACGCCACCUUCCGCCAUGAUCUUCGCUCUGCCAUCACGUUCGUCUGCAUGAACAGCAUCCACGCGGUCAUUUACCUCCCCCCUGAGCUGCUGCGCAUGCCGGAAGUGCUACUGAUUGUGGACCCGCUAGUGCGCAGCGGCGAUGUAUCGGGUCUGUUCUCGGACGAGGAGCGCAGCUCUCUGAUGCGUGGCUUCCGUGUAACCCAUCCGCGAUCACUAAAGCCGUUUACCCUGGUCGACGACAGUGAGCUGCGUGACCGCCUCCGAAGCUCCUUUAACUUCGUCUUCCACCUGCGUGACGCAGCAGAGGUGAAACGAAUGGCGGCCGCCUACCCCUUUCUGCGGCAGCAAAAGACGAGCGUGCUGCGGCUGUACACGGAGGAGCUGCGGAGCUCGUUGGUGCAGGAACUGGUGUUGUCCGUUCUGCGGAGCAGCGGCGGUGCGGAUGUCGACGGCAUCCCCACCCUCGACAGUGAAGACACGGAGGAGGGGGAAGACGAGGGCGUUAAGGAAGGUGACCGUGACGGGGGUGAUCGCCCUGUGAGCCUGUCGCAACGGGCUGUGUGUAGGGCUCUGUGUGCCAUAUUCGCACAUGUCUCCGAAAGGCACCCGACCUCCUUGAUGCAGCUGAUUGAGUUUGCGUCGCUGUACCGGGACCUGAGUUCGGCGGCGCGCGUGGAGGUCUUGGAAAGCGCUAGAACGGGCACGGUCAUCAUGGACCGCGGGGAUGAAGCAGUACAGAUGGUGAGGACUGUUUCACAGCGAACUCGCGCAAUCGCUGAGGGGCUGGCCGCCGAGCAGCUGCGCAUAGCCUUGCUCUCUGAGAGGCUGCGCGACGAGGAGAACCAGCUCACGACGCAAUCGCUUGAGGCACAGGCGUUCGGCGACAAGCUGCAAGAGAAGAGGGAAGCUCUCGUCUGGCAACGCGCAACUCUCGCCGAUGCCCUGAAGAAGGCAGAGGAACGACUGGAGAAGGCCGCGCGGCAGCUGCGAAAGGCGAAGGUGAACAACAUGCGCGCACUCGCCGUCUCGCGUGUGCCGGAGAAGGGUGCCCUUCUUAUCCGCUGCCUUUACGCGGUGCUCGGUGAAGACCUUCCAAAGCACAACGAUAACCCUCACGAGCUGUGGAGCACCGCCAUGAAACGGGUGUGCACAAAGGAGUUCACGAUGACUCUGACAGGGAUCGCGCCGGACGAAGACCGGACUGCCUUGAAAACCUACCUCCUGCUGCGUCAGGAGCUGGAUGCGGUGCGGUACGCGCCGGCGCAACCGUACGCCCAACUACUGGCCGACUUUGUAGUGGCGUGGGUGGACUGCGGGAAGUUCCGCGCUGAGGACUACGCAACUGGUGUACAGGACAUUGGGAAGUCUGAGGAUGACCUGAAGAAGGACGAGGAGCUCUACGCGACGCGGCUGAAGGGCGUGCAGUCCGCUCUAGGGACUGUGGCGUGCAUCAAGGCUGAGAUUGAUGCAGCACAGCGCUCCACAGAAGCGUUGCAGGGAGAGCAGCGGCAGUUGGCGGGCAUCGAGGACCGACUGAUGAAGUACACCGGACUUGUCGACCGCUUCUCACGAUUUCUGGCGGCGCCGGCGGACGUAGCGGAGCGCACGAAGUUUGCGCGCUGCGCCGCCGCGGACACUUUCCUCGUCUCUGCCUUCUACUCGCUUCUUGCCAUGCACGACAAGGCUAAGGACACGUACGUGUCUCUGCAGCAGCUUCUCGUCGAGACGGUGCAUCCCAGGCUGCACUCCACAGCGCCGCAGGAGGCAUUCGCCUACAUGCUGUACCAGACACACGCCCCACGCACCCGCGCGCUAAUGUUGCCUGGAAGCGAGAACUUUGCGUGGGAGUACAGGGCCCUUUUCAUGGCGCUGUUCAAGCGCGUCGCUUCGCGGUGGACUUUGAUCGGGGCGGCAACGCCACUCAUCGAGCAGGAAGUGUGCAAGUAUCUGUCUCUUUCAUGCACGGGCUGCGUCGUCAUGUCGAUGACGGACCCGUCGGCGAAGGAGCGGCUGAUCGCGGCUAUGCGAGCUGGGGAAGGUGUUCUUCUUCGUGACGUUCACGACCCGGAGUCGCUCGAUUUCAUCCGCUACCUCAACCCUCUUUACUGCAAGCUGAAGGUGCACUGGAACGCAGAGCUGGGUCCGCGGAGGGCGUCGACAACGAUUGCGACUGCGCAGUCGCCCCAGCCAUCGACGAUGCCCUCUGCUCCCCGUCCUGCAGACGAAGAGGAUGCCACUGCACGGUCCGUCUCGCUGUUGCUGGAGGGCCGGGAGGUACGGGUACACCUUUCCUUUUACAUGGUGUGCACCUCCUCGCUGGCGGUGCCCGUCGAAACGAACGCGGUCUGUGACGCCGUCAACGUCUACAACCUCUGCACCCCAAUGCCCCAGCGGCUGUACUACGAGUGUCUGCUCCGCGACGCCGUUUGCACCACGUCAGUGUCCACCAAAAUGUGCAACAUGCGCGAGGAAAUAGCGACACAGCAGCAGGUCUACUUCAGGGUGCUGCAAGACUUUGUGCAGGCACACGAUGCUGCUGCGAAGCUUCUCGCGGCGGACAUCGGCGACAUCCGCGACGGGCUGUGCGGGGACAAGCUGGUGGCGGACGCCGAUCGCGCGCUCGUCGACGUGGACAUGUACGAGGGUCAGCUGUCCCAAACCGUCUACUACGUGCAGAGCUGGCAGAAGGCGGUGCAAGAAGGCUGGGGCCCGGUGCUGCCUGCCGUGGAGGCAGUAGCGAGCUUUGCCGAGCUGAUCGAAGCGGAGAGGCUGCAGCGUCCGUGGAGCGCGUCUGCGUUGGAUAGAUGUCUGAUGGAUAUUGUGCGCUUUCCGCCCGUGUUCACGCGCCACUUCGCGCCGCAGUCGUUUAGUGAUCUUCCGGCGCCGCUCAAACGCUACUACGCAGCGGUGAACUACGUGCAACGCGUGGUAGAGCAGCUCGCCGCCGGCUGGCCUGUGUCAGUGAGGGGCAUCUUCUCGCUGCUGCUGCUUGCGUCGGCGAUGGCGGCCGCACCAGUCGUUUUUGCUGCGAAAACCGACGCGCGUGUGCUGACGGCAGAGCAGACACGAGUGCUACAGGUUCUCCUCCGAGAGGGACUCGGCUGUGUCUCGCCCAGUACAGGAAAGGACCAGAAGGAUGCCUCGAUCAGUUCCUUGUUCUCGCUUCUUUCGUCUGUUGGUUCCACAGAGGAGGAGCUGCGCCGAGGCAUGCUGGAGCUCUACACCACUUCUGAGGAUGCUUUGCUCCACCAUGUGGCGCGAAGAGGCAGCGCCGUUCCAGGCGAGGAGAAGGACCUCAGCAACGACCCCGAGGCUGAUGUAGACGAGAAUCAGUUCUACGUGGCACACUUCUUCUCGUCCAUGGCGGAGCUGCAAGUGGAGCAGGCAAACCACUACGCUGCCUCCCUCUAUGGCACUUUCAUGGAGUCCGUCACACGUUUGGAGGGUGCAGCAGGUGAGCCGAAGCCCCCCGCGAUGCCACUUGCCGCGGACGGGCGCACUGGCAAGCGCUGGAUGCGCACGUCAAUGGAUAUGCCGUCGCAGCGCAUUGCCGACGAGACACAAGAACCAGGCAUGAGCAGCUCUCGCAGCGACGGCGGGAAGGACAGUGCAAAGGAGGCGGAGCUGCGUGAUUUUAUUUCAGUGGGGAUGCAGAUGGAGCGGGCCGCGAUGGCGCAGCAGCCUCUCUGCCUCAUCACUGACUCAGCACUUACAAGUUCUCUGUCGUGGCUUCGCCAUGAGGCUGUGGAGGCGAAGCUCGAUUUUGUCUGGCAGGAGUUGACUCUUUGUAGGGCGACUACGGCAUUCUAUUCUGCCACGACAGUAUCGCCCCCCAAGAGCGGGGCACAAGGCGUCACGUUUGCGACUGCGACGCAGACCCUCAUCUCGCUGACGAAGCAGUUCCGGUUCUCAGGGAAGGGCAGAGGCGUGUGUCUGGCGCUUGUCGUGGACGCAGAUGUUAAGCAAGGCGUCAGCGAAAAGGACGCACGCAUCUUCAGAGAAGAGUUGCAGUGGUUACUUUCUCUGUACACCAACACCUUUCGACCGUCAGGCGGCGGCAAAGUCGGAGCGGCAGUGCAUCUUGCAGUGAUUUGCUCGCCCGCAACAGAGCGGGUGCUAUGGGGAGGGGCCGCGGCUGGUCACGUGACGCUGUGCUGCUAUAUCCCGUUGAGCACCAUUACCCCCCAGCAGCGCCUCGUCCAGCUUCUCCAGCCGUCGCGCCGCUAUUUCACUGACAGUGGUGUUGUGCAGGCUUGCGAGACGAUUCUGCAAAACGUGGCGGCAGAGAUGGCCCAUCGCAGUAGCAUCAACGCAAACCACAGGCCCCCUCCAAAUAAUACGAUGCGCGUCCGCGGACCGACCCUCGCGAAGCUGACGAUGCUCCAAAAUGCGGCGCAGGCGUCGAUGCCGCUUCCAACGCUCCCGCGUUUCACCUCGCCUGCCGCCCUCACUGCCUUACAGAAUGCGGUGGAGAACUUGCUUUGCUGUGCUCGUCUGGCGCAUCAUGAGAUGGUGGUGAGUCAUGUAGUGUCCACCAUACGUGAGCGCAUGCGCUGCGAGGGGAACAAACUCGGCUGCUUCGUCGACGAUCCAGCCCCGCUGGCGCAGCUGCAUGACCUGCUGUCUGAAUGGAUUGUGCGGCGCUACGAGGCGCUCGUUGCCAACCUCAGCAGGUCAACCGCUGAGGAGGUGCAGAGCCCUACCAACGACAGGGCUGCUGCGGCCGAGAGCACUGCGAAGGCUGGAGGCGCGUCCUCGAAGGCGUCCUUGAACGGCGACCUGACCCUUCCGCUUGCAUCACAGUCCAUGCUGCAGCGCGACGCGGUGGAGAGAAACGCCCUCCCGUACGGCCUGAAAGCCUACUACUAUUUGCGCCGCCGGCAACUGGGGUGGCAGCUUCUUCUGGAGCGGCACUUUCAAGCGACACGGCAAACGUCACAAGAGCCCACGCCCGUCAGCUCUCACGCCAGCGUCGAGCGCUUUACCCAUGCUGUGCUCUCCAUUAUGACUGCAAACUCGAAGACGGGUGACGCACUGCCGUCUCGCGGUUCUGCCAGCCGUGACAGCAGCUUGGCGGAUCUCCAAGUGCUGAGUGCCGCUGAGCUACCACUUCACCUCGAGCGAUCGAGUCAGCGUUCGGCGCAGCGGAGUCUGGUGGAGCGCGCGGUGAAGCAGUGGCGCACUGGACUGUUUGCGAUGGCCCGGCAGUUCGCCUUUUUCUUCAUGUCUUGCCACCAACGCAACGACACACUUCCAGUGGUGGAGCAACAGGCGCAGUGGACCAUGCUGCGUGCCUUGAUCGGGAUGCCAGAGCACGGCGACGAGGUUUCUUGUUUCUGGGGGCAGAACAGCGAUGCCUACUCCGCCGGAGAAACGUGGCAGACGCUUAUCCUUGAUGCGCGCUACCUUGAUCACUUCCGGCUGGAGGUCGCCAUGUUCCCCUCUGAUUUGAUGGAGCUGUGCGGCGAGGCGGCGGCGGCGAGACGGCUGCGGCGCAUGCAGCUGGACAGCCUUUUGCAUCUGUGCUUUCCUACUAGCGGCAGCAGCACCUACAAAUCGAGCAAAGCGGCACGCAAGACGCUCGAUAUUCCAAGCACCGCCCCGGCCAUCGCGGCGGCGGAGGAUCUAGGGCGGCCCGUGCACACGCGAGAUGAGCCGGCCAGCGUCUUGGCUUCUCCUGUUGUCCCCGAAGAGGCCGAAUCGAGGUGUGGGGAGUCACUGCUUCAUUUGCCGGCGGCGUCCUCAUCAUCGCAUCGGGCUGUGGUGGCGGACAUACUGCAGUCUUUUUCCAUGGGCCUGGCACGCCACGCAUCAGUCACCGUCGGCGAGCCGUACACGCAGGUGUGGCUGCCAUCUCUGCGCCACCCUAUGCUCGAUCUCGAGUUUCUCACAACGAUUGUGCGGCGCCCUGCGUCGUCGCCCAGCGAUUCCGCCACAGAGGCACGAGCGGCGCACGCCACGUCGCGCGACGAUAAACCCUUCUCUGAUGGCAUGUGGGAGGAAGGCCAGCAAGACGGUCACUAUCGUUUGGCAGGCGAGAGGGAUCACAACGCUGCUGCUAGUCGGCUCAUUUUGGUGGUGACGCAGCGGCGCUAUCUGCUUCCGUCCGACGUUAUACUUACGGGUGCUCGACUGUCUCUGGCGCUCGUGAGGCAGCUGGCCGCGCAGACGCAGUGGCCGGUGGGUCGAGAUGGCGACGAGACUACCGCAGGACUGACGGCGGCGGUGGUGGUGGUUCGGAGAGUGCUGGUUCGACCACGCGCCCAGAUCGUGGAAGGAUGUUCGGAGAGGGCGGAAACGCCUGCUCGAACACCUACCUACGAGGUAGGGAUGUGGAUGUGGCCGACAAAUUCAUCGUGGGACACAACCCAUAGCAGCUCGCAGCUGCGAUGGUACGCCGUCACGUGCUCACGCCUACCGGCCGACGCGCUCCUGUGGGACGCCACGAUCGUGUGCCGCCCUACUGCGGCAUCGGCUGCUCACUCCUCGUCCACAGCGUCAGAGUCGCCGCGACGCCGAGAGGAUGCUUCAGACAACACGUUCGUCACGGAGAUAGAGGAGCCGGCAAAGACAGCCACACCGAAGCAGGUGGACCUCGACGCACCUCGUUCAUGGAGCGUUACUGAGGUGCCGGUCCCUGUACGGUGGCAUCCUCUCUCAGGCGACUCGAGCAGGGGUGUCAAAGGAAAAGGUGCUAUCAUGUUAGAGCUCUACCUCUGCGUCGAGUAUGAGCCACUGGCGAUACACAACUAUGGUUUCGGGUCCGAUACCUCGAACAGCUCCCCAUCGUCGUCGUCGAUGACUACCGCCACCGGUGCCUGUGCUUCCUGUGCCACUCGAGGGGCCUGGGACACACUGCAACUUCACGAGACUCUGGACGCCUACGUUUGGAUAGAAUGAGCCGGCGUUCUCGCGGCACACACGUCGUGCACGCGUGGAGCAACGCCGGUGAAAUCCGUGCGCCCGCCCAUCGUUUCUUUGCCUGUCUAUUUCUCUCCUGCUAACUGUCGUGACCUCUGAUGUACAUAGGUGGCAAAUUUUGUGCCCCCCCCC